CUACGGGUGGCUGCAGUGGGGAAUAUUGCACAAUGGGGGAAACCCUGAUGCAGCAACGCCGCGUGAGUGAUGACGGUCUUCGGAUUGUAAAGCUCUGUCUUCAGGGACGAUAAUGACGGUACCUGAGGAGGAAGCCACGGCUAACUACGUGCCAGCAGCCGCGGUAAUACGUAGGUGGCAAGCGUUGUCCGGAUUUACUGGGCGUAAAGGGAGCGUAGGCGGAUUUUUAAGUGGGAUGUGAAAUACCCGGGCUUAACCUGGGUGCUGCAUUCCAAACUGGAAGUCUAGAGUACAGGAGGGGAAAGCGGAAUUCCUAGUGUAGCGGUGAAAUGCGUAGAGAUUAGGAAGAACACCGGUGGCGAAGGCGGCUUUCUGGACUGUAACUGACGCUGAGGCGCGAAAGCGUGGGGAGCGAACAGGAUUAGAUACCCUCGUAGUC
Molecule: ribosomal RNA, 439 nt
Filed under: uncultured bacterium
Lineage: Bacteria
Description: partial 16S ribosomal RNA
Rfam family: Bacterial small subunit ribosomal RNA
Source: RNAcentral